UGCCGCUCACCAGCAGCGGCUCCUCCCCGGGCAGGCCUUGGGGCCGCGGCCUACCUCUGGCCCGGGGCCCUGCCUGGCCGCCUCACGGGUUUUCGUCGUGCCCAGCAUUUUCCAGCGGGUUUCUGCUGUGUCCCUGGUCAUCUUCCAGCCCUCAGACAGUGUUCAGGUGAUCUGGGAAGUGUUGGUGGUCGUGUUUGUACAGAGGAGCCUGAGAGCGUGCAGGUGCCUGUAGGCUGACUAGCGUUUCAGCUGACUAGCUAAAGUGCUUGAGAGAUGUUCCAUCCCUCUGACCAUUUUUGUGGCCCUCCUCCGGACCUGCUCCAACAGGUCCAUGUCUUUCCUGUGCUGAGGACUCCAGAGCUGGAUGCAGUACCCUAGGAACAAAGGGAGGUUCCAGAGAGCCAUUACUUUGGAAAACCUUCCCAGAGCAGGAUCAUCAAGUGCUCUUUCAAGAGCUAACCACUCUUCCUAGUUCUCUGUGGGUACUGGGAAUUGGCCAUGAAAGGAGACUGCAUUUUCAUGCCUGGAAGGGGAAAUGCAUGAUCAUGCAUUCCCAUCCCAUGCCCAUCACAGCUGUGAUGGCCCCUGAGUGGGCAUGGGAGAGCGUUCAGUUGAUUGAAAAACCUUUGAGAUUGACUGCCCAUCAAGGCCAUUUGUUCUUUCUUCUGAAUUGCUAACAACUCCUGCCUGACUUGCCUGUAGGCAUGGCAGGGCAAACCUAACUGUGUAACCCUUGCAGCUUUGGAUCUGACCUUCUGCUUCAGCCUGACUAUGUGAGUCAGUGGAUUGCCUGAGCACAAGCUUGGAGCUCUGCAUUACACUACCUCCAAAUGAUAUUCAUUCAGGUUAUCUGAGGAAGUGUAGGUGCUCCUAUUGGUACAGAGAAACCCAAGAGUGUGCAGCUACCUGACAGCUAACUAGCAUUUCACAUGACUAGGCAAAGUGUUUGUAAGUAAUAGAGGCCCUCAGAUGUUGACAAAAGCAAAACCAAAGACCGCAUUUUCCGCUAAAUUGUCUUCUUUAUGGAAGAGAGCCAGCAUUAUUUCUUGGGAUGGAAGAGUAGUUCCUUCAAAAGGAUUCCUUUAAAAUUGUGUCCUUGUCAUCUAUGGAACAAGGAGACAAGAGGGUGGGGAAACACUUCAAAAAUCCCUGCUGAAAAAAAACACUGGUUACAAGUUCUUUACACAGUCGUGAUGGACUUGGUGGACUGUCCUCCGUGCUCCUAGCUUUUAGCUUCCAUUAGGCUGGCAAGCCUUUCAUUAGAGCUUGGCAAGUAUAGUUGUGACAUGAUACGGCUUUUUCUGUUACAACAUUGUAAGACAAAAAAACUUUAAUGCACAAAGACAGCCAUAAAACACUCUUCAUUUCGCUUCCUGUACCUUAAGAGUCAAGAAGAGUUUGACUGGAGGCCAUCAUAUUCUGAAAUCAAAAUGCAACUUAACGUAAUUAAUAUCCUGCAAACUGUCUUUUAAUUUUCCAAUGUUUAAAAAAAAAAAAAGAGUGUUGUACAUAAACUUCCUAGAAUUUUGGAAUGCUUUAAGUGCUACCUAGUUUUUCUGGGAACAGAAUGGCUAAACUUUUCCGUGAGCUUUGAAGGCUAUUGGGAUGCUUUGGGUAGGAACCAGGUUCCCUCCAGUUAUAAAAAGCUUUUCUUUUCCGACAUCC
Molecule: long non-coding RNA, 1665 nt
Organism: Harpia harpyja (harpy eagle)
Lineage: Eukaryota; Metazoa; Chordata; Aves; Accipitriformes; Accipitridae
Exons: 3
Source: RefSeq, a predicted model, not a curated record